RNAcentral lists this ribosomal RNA (467 nucleotides) under uncultured bacterium. RNAcentral's name for it is "partial 16S ribosomal RNA". It matches the Rfam family "Bacterial small subunit ribosomal RNA", at positions 28 to 507 of the family's 1533-position model. The record is from RNAcentral.
GACGAACGCUGGCGGCGUGCUUAACACAUGCAAGUCGAACGGAAAGGCCCUGCUUUUGUGGGGUGCUCGAGUGGCGAACGGGUGAGUAACACGUGAGUAACCUGCCCUUGACUUUGGGAUAACUUCAGGAAACUGGGGCUAAUACCGGAUAGGAGCUCCUGCUGCAUGGUGGGGGUUGGAAAGUUUCGGCGGUUGGGGAUGGACUCGCGGCUUAUCAGCUUGUUGGUGGGGUAGUGGCUUACCAAGGCUUUGACGGGUAGCCGGCCUGGGAGGGUGACCGGCCCCAUGGGACUUGGGAACGGGCCAGGACUCAAACGGGAGGAAGGGGUGGGAAAUAUGCCGAAAGGGGCGGAGGCAUGAUGGAGAAACGCCGGGUCGGGAAUGACGGCUUUUGGGUUGUAACCAGUUUGCGCGUGUGAAGACGCGUGAUGACGGUAAAUGGGUAAAAAGCCACGGCUAACUACGUG